This 782-nucleotide non-coding RNA is filed under the name Deroplatys truncata. Lineage: Eukaryota; Metazoa; Arthropoda; Insecta; Mantodea; Mantidae. The record is from RNAcentral.
CUUUGAUUAUUUGUUUUAAUGUUAUUCUGAAUGUGAAUGUGUGUAUAUUAUAGUUUUCUCAAUGAGGUUUAUAAAGUUAAUUGUGCAGUAGGUAAUUUUAUUGAUAUUAAAUUAUUUUAGAUUUAGUGAAUGUUAUAAAAGUUUGGUAAAAAUUGUGCCAGCAUCCGCGGUGAUACAGUGAAAUUAAAUAAAUAAUAUUGGUUUUUAAAUAAUUAAUGUUAAUUAAUGUUAAAUGAUGAUUAAAGUAUUUUAAGGUGAAAUGUUUUUAAAAUAUUUUAAUUAAUUAUUAGUUAGUAUGAUGGAUUAUGAGAUUAAAAAGGUAAACUAGGAUUAGAUACCCUAUUAUUUUUAUGGUAAAUUAAUAAACUAAAGUAUUAGCAGAUAUGAUCUUGAAACUUAAAGAAUUUGACGGUAUUAUAAUCUAUUUAGAGGAGUCUAUUAUUUAAUUGAUAAUCCGCGUUGGACCUUACUUACUUUAUAUUUUUGUAUACCGCUGUUUGAGAAUAUUUUUUUAGAUAAUUUUCUGAGCAUAAAAAUAUAUAAUAUUUCAAGUCAAGGUGCAGUAAUAAGUAAGUUUGAUGAUGGACUACAAUAAAUUGUAUUUAUUAUGGAUAAUUAUUGGAAAGUAAUUUAAAGGUGGAUUUAAUUGUAAUUUUAUGAAGUUUGUUAAAAUGAUUAAUAGCUCUAUAAUAUGUACACAUCGCCCGUCACUCUCAUAUUAAGAUGAGAUAAGUCGUAACAAAGUAGGCGUACCGGAAGGUGUGCCUAGAAAGUCACUUGAA